GUGGGUUUGUAAGUCGGGCGUGAAAUCCCUCGGCUUAACCGAGGAACUGCGUCCGAAACUGCAUGGCUUGAGGACGGAAGGGGAAGGUGGAAUUCCUGGUGGAGCGGUGAAAUGCGUAGAUAUCAGGAGGAACGCCGGUGGCGAAAGCGGCCUUCUGGUCCGUUUCUGACGCUGAGGUGCGAAAGCUAGGGGAGCAGACAGGAUUAGAUACCCUGGUAGUCCUAGCCGUAAACGAUGGGCACUAAGUAGAGGGG
Molecule: ribosomal RNA, 254 nt
Filed under: uncultured Planctomycetales bacterium
Lineage: Bacteria; Pseudomonadati; Planctomycetota; Planctomycetia; Planctomycetales
Description: partial 16S ribosomal RNA
Rfam family: Bacterial small subunit ribosomal RNA
Source: RNAcentral